Molecule: ribosomal RNA, 1138 nt
Filed under: uncultured bacterium
Lineage: Bacteria
Description: bacterial SSU rRNA
Rfam family: Bacterial small subunit ribosomal RNA
Source: RNAcentral
GUAGUAGGCGGGGUUACCGCCCCCCUAGCCGACGAUGGAUAGGGGUUCUGAGAGGAAGGUCCCCCACAUUGGAACUGAGACACGGUCCAAACUCCUACGGGAGGCAGCAGUGAGGAAUAUUGGUCCAUGGACGAGAGUCUGAACCAACCAAGUAGCGUGAAAGAUGAAGGUCCUACGGAUUGUUAACUUUCUUUAUUAAGGAAUAAAACCUCCCACCGUGUGGGAACUUGUAUGUACUUAUGAAAUAAGCAUCGGCUAACUCCCUGGCCACCGCCCCCGUAAAUACGGAGGAUGCGAGCGUUAUCCGGAUUUAUUGGGUUAAAGGGAGCGCAGACGGGUCGUUAAGUCAGCUGUGAAAAUUUUGGGGCUCAACCUUAAAAUUGCAGUUGAUACUGGCGUCCUUGAGUGCGGUUGAGGUGUGCGGAAUUCGUGGUGUAGCGGUGAAAUGCUUAGAUAUCACGAAGAACUCCGAUUGCGAAGGCAGCACACUAAGCCGUAACUGACGUUCAUGCUCGAAAGUGUGGGUAUCAAACAGGAUUAGAUACCCUGGUAGUCCACACGGUAAACGAUGGAUACUCGCUGUUGGCGAUAUACUGUCAGCGGCUUAGCGAAAGCGUUAAGUAUCCCACUUGGGGAGUACGCCGGCAACGGUGAAACUCAAAGGAAUUGACGGGGGCCCGCACAAGCGGAGGAACAUGUGGUUUAAUUCGAUGAUACGCGAGGAACCUUACCCGGGCUUAAAUUGCAAAGGAAUAAUCUGGAAACAGAUUAGUCUUCGGACCUUUGUGAAGGUGCUGCAUGGUUGUCGUCAGCUCGUGCCGUGAGGUGUCGGCUUAAGUGCCAUAACGAGCGCAACCCUCGCCGCCAGUUACUAGCAGGUAAUGCUGAGGACUCUGGCGGGACUGCCAUCGUAAGAUGUGAGGAAGGUGGGGAUGACGUCAAAUCAGCACGGCCCUUACGUCCGGGGCUACACACGUGUUACAAUGGGCGGUACAGAAGGCAGCUACCUGGCGACAGGAUGCCAAUCCCUAAAGCCGCUCUCAGUUCGGACUGGAGUCUGCGAACCCGACUCCACGAAGCUGGAUUCGCUAGUAAUCGCGCAUCAGCCACGAGCGCGGUAAAUACGUUUCCCGGGCCU